UGUAUCAAUUGCAGUUCAUAUAUUGAAGAUGUAUAUAUUAGAUCGUUGGCGCUAACCAUUAAUCGCAAAAGCUCGAGCUGUUAGAAAUACGCAAGUAAUUCACUUAAAGCGUACAGAUACAAUACCCACGGGUCUCGAUUGUGACUCGGCCCAACCGGCCUCACGCCACUUCGAACCUGAUUCGGCCCAACCUAGCCUCACGCCAUUUCGAACAUGACUCGGCCCACACACGGCCUCUUGCCACAGGGUAGGAUGCUAGUCCAUUUAAGCCAACAAUCCCCCUCCAGCAUUUGGACAUAUUUGUAGUAUGCAUGAAUCGAACCCGUGGCCACUGGCUCUGAUACUAGUUGAUCAUUGGCGCUAAUCAUUAAUCCCAAAAACUCGAGCUAUUAGAAAUACGCAAUCAAUUCACUUAAAACCGUACAGAUAUAGCGCCCACUGGUUUCGAUUGUGACUCAGCCCAACCAGCUUCACGCCACUUCGAACAUGACUCGGUCCAACCUAGCCUCACAGCAUUUCGAACAUGACUCAGCUCACACAUAGCCUCUUGCUACAGGGCAGGAUGCUGGUCUAUUUAAGCUAACAGUAUAUAACCUUUGGAGCUUUUUUUUUUAGAGAAAAAAAGUGUACCAUCUGUUUUGUUUAUUUUUUUAUUUUUAUUUUUUUGAGAGAUAGGUAGCACGCUACCGUUUCGUUUAUUUCAUUUAGAAAUAAAAUUUAGCUAGAAAUGUGAAUCAACUAGGAUUCGAACUUGGGACCUCGGGUACCAACCACUGAGCCCUUUGCCACUUGCUUUAGGAACGGUCGGUGUUUCGUUUAUUUUUUUAGAAAUAAACUUAGCUAGAAGUGUGAAGCCACUAGAUUUCGAACUUGAAAUUUCGGGUAUACCAACCACCAAAUCCUUUAUCACUUGCACUGGGGACGGUCGGUGCUAGAUUGCAAUUUCAUGUCAAAAUUUGGCUUACAAUAUAGGAAUUGACUUUAGUAAUAAUUUUUAGGCUAAAUUACAGAAAACUCUUCUGUCAAAAUGUGAUUUUUCACUUCCCCCCCUGUCAUUUAAAAACCUACAUUUUGACCCCUUGUAGAAUGAAAAAUGCGCACUUUGUCCCCUACUGUUAGUGAUCCGUUAAGGUUCCGUUAUAAAAUAUUUUUUUAUACCAAAAUACCCCUCCGCCCUCUUCCCUAUUGCUUCGCCGCCUCACCGCCUCGCCUUCCUCUACUGCCUCGCCCUCGCCCACAUUCCCGUCCGCGCCCACAAACACCCCUUCACCCUCCUCCGCCACCUUGCCUUCGCCCUCGUUGCCGUUACCUACCUCGAUUUCCUCCCCCACCUCGAUUUCCACCCUACUGUCGCCGAAAUCGAGGGGCGGCGAGGGUGCAGGAGGAGAGGGGAGCAGGUGGAGAAGAAAAUAGAGAGAAAUCGCAGCGGAUUGAGGCGUAAACCGCAACUGAUCGAGGUUGCUAUUGAGGAAGAUGAUGGAGUAGACGACAAUGGUGCGGGGCAAAAUGGUCAGUUUAUCAUCACAGUACACACCGUACCCCUACUGUGAAUAUUUUUUAUUUUACAAGGGGGCAAAGUAUAGAUUUUUAAAUGAGAGAGGAGGAAAGUGAAAAAUCGAAUUUUGACGGGAGGUUUUAUGUAAUUUAGCCUAAUUUUUACUCUAUGAGUGUAAUAAUUAGAGUCAGUUUUAUUCAUAAA
RNAcentral lists this long non-coding RNA (1699 nucleotides) under Ananas comosus (pineapple). RNAcentral's name for it is "long non-coding RNA (ACOM_LNC024545)". Lineage: Eukaryota; Viridiplantae; Streptophyta; Magnoliopsida; Poales; Bromeliaceae. The record is from RNAcentral.